UGUAUGAACGGCAUCACGAGGGUUUAACUGUCUCCUUCCCCCAGUCAAUGAAAUUGAUCUACCCGUGCAGAAGCGGGUAUAGUACCAUAAGACGAGAAGACCCUAUGGAGCUUUAGGUAAAGGAUCAAACAUGUAAAUAAGACAGCAUCAUCCAAGGAUACAAAACCCCCUUAAACAUAAUGUAAACAUGAUCCCAAUCCCUUAGGUUGGGGCGACCGCGGGGGAAAAAAAAGCCCCCGCAUGGAACGAAUCCACUUCCAAACCCAGGGCCACAGCCCUAAGCAACAGAACAUCUGACCACUAAUGACCCGGGACACCCUACCAUGCCCGAUCAAUGAACCAAGUUACCCUAGGGAUAACAGCGCAAUCCUUUCCCAGAGCCCAUAUCGACGAAAGGGUUUACGACCUCGAUGUUGGAUCAGGACACCCUAAUGGUGAAACCGCUAUUAAGGGCUCGUUUGUUCAACGAUUAACAGUCCUACGUGAUCUA
Molecule: ribosomal RNA, 490 nt
Filed under: Muraenichthys gymnopterus (longfinned worm eel)
Lineage: Eukaryota; Metazoa; Chordata; Actinopteri; Anguilliformes; Ophichthidae
Description: partial 16S ribosomal RNA
Rfam family: Bacterial large subunit ribosomal RNA
Source: RNAcentral